This 1050-nucleotide ribosomal RNA is filed under the name Triticum aestivum (bread wheat). Its description in RNAcentral is "partial small subunit ribosomal RNA". The record is from RNAcentral. Lineage: Eukaryota; Viridiplantae; Streptophyta; Magnoliopsida; Poales; Poaceae.
AUGUACGCGCUGAGACAUAUCCUGGGCUUCUUUCUGGGAGCGGCGAUCACGGCGGCCUUUGUGGCGCUAUUGCUGCCGCCUUCUCCUUCUCCUUCUCCUUCUCCUUCACCGUGCCCGUGCGGGCGCACGCCGCCGGCAGAUCACAAGCUGGCGUCAUUGGACCAAGCUGCUCCGAAGAAGCUCGAUACGGGGGUGAACAAUGCUGCACGGAAACCGGAAGAGGACGACGACGAGAAGCUCGCGGAGCUGCUGCGGAGCGCGGCCAUGGACGACAACACCAUCAUAAUGACCUUCACGAACGAGGCGUGGACGGCGCCGGGGUCGCUGCUGGACGUGUUCCUGGAGAGCUUCCGCAUCGGCGUGAGGACGGAGCCGCUGCUGAAGCACCUGGUGAUCGUGGCGGUGGACGGCAAGGCGUUCGAGGGGUGUCAGCGCGUGCACCCGCUCUGCUACCGCCUGGCGUCGAUGGUGGACUUCGCGGCGGAGAAGUCGUACAACACCCCGGACUACCUGGACAUGAUGUGGGCGCGGAACAAGUUCCAGGCGCGGGUGCUGGCGCUGGGCUUCGGCUUCGUGUUCACGGACGUGGACAUCGUGUGGUUCCGGAACCCGCUGCUGCGCAUCCCGGUGGGCGCCGACAUCGCGCUCAACUGCGACUGGUUCUACGGCGACAACCCCUACGACCUCAACAAGACGGCCAACGGCGGGUUCCUCCACGCCAAGCCGCGGGCGCGGACGCAGGCCUUCUUCGCGGACUGGUACGCGGCGCGGACGCGGCACCCGGGGGAGCACGACCAGUUCGUGUUCGACCAGGUGAAGCACGAGCUGGCGGCGCGGCACGGCGUGACGGUGCAGUUCAUCGACACCCAGUACCUCAGCGGGCGGUGCGAGCCCCGCAUGGACUUCCGCAAGCUGUGCACGUUCCACGCCAACUGCAUCAUCGGGCUGCAGUACAAGCUGGAGUAUCUCACCGGCGUGCUCGACGAGUGGAAGCGGUUCAAGGCCCAGGAGGAGCUGCUCGGCACCAACAGCACCGCGCUCACUUACUGA